This 4634-nucleotide long non-coding RNA is filed under the name Homo sapiens (human). Its description in RNAcentral is "HSALNT0220940". Lineage: Eukaryota; Metazoa; Chordata; Mammalia; Primates; Hominidae. The record is from RNAcentral.
CCCGGGAGGCGGAGCUUGCAGUGAGCCAAGAUCGCGCAGCUGCACUCCACCCUGGGCGACAGAGCGAGACUCUGUCUCAACAAAAUAAAAGAAAAAAAAAAAAAGGAAAAUUGUGCUAAUUUUCAGUUAACAGUUCAAUUGAUAUUUUGCACCUUUUGAUAGACAAAUAUGUCUUUAUGGCCCCACAGCUAUGUCUGACAAGGGAAAUUUCUUUCACCUAUCAUCCAGCAUUCCGUUGUUCUUGCUCCGAGGAUGACAAAGAGGCUCAAUCAAGACCCAGGCCUGAUUGUUAAUCCAAAAAUAUAGAAGGCCUCUGCUUAGCCUUCUCAUAAUGUGCCCAUUCACUUUGCUGACACAGGCUCAAAAACCUAUUUUUCCGUCUUGGAAAAUGAUGAAAAAGUUUGCAUGGAUUUUACUGUGGAUCCUGGUCCACAAGAGAUGCAGACAGCAGGGGGACGGUGGCAGGUGGCCUCAGUGCAAGCCUCGUCAUAACUUGCUGGCUUGUUUCACUGUGCUGCUUCUUCAUUGCCCCCACAAUGCUUUCAUGCCUCUGUGAGAGAAAACCACCCUCCCUGAGUCACGGAAACAAGGCCUGGGAAUGCUUUUGUGUGGUCUUAUCUGCUUCAGUCUCCCCCUUACUACCUGUAGCUUAAACAUGACAGGAACAACCCAAUAAAAUUAGCUUCGUGGGAUGAGACAGGAAGAAAAAUGUCAAGAAGGCAGUCCCUCUCCCCACCUUCUUCUCAAUCUGGGUGAACACACCCCGGCUUCAGGAGUUUUUAGCCCACUAGACAAAAUGCUCUUGGGCUCUUACUGGUUUAAUGAACAGAACAAACUCUUGGGGACAAAAAAGGACAAACCUGCCCACUGAAAAUUAUGUGACUCAGGCUCUUUUAAGGCUCGUGUUUGGCCAGGGGAACAGCGCUUCCUGGAUUGACUACACUGAGCGUGUUCCUCAUCACCUCCUGCCUACACGACUCUCAGAGCCUUUGUGACCAAGUGUUUAUUGUCAGCAGCAACCCAGGGAUGCAGGAUCAGCUAGUGCCUUGUUAGAAAAACAUUUUACAGGUUUGGUAAGAUGACUCUGGGAAGUGGCUUUGAGGAGGAAUAUAUCUGAUGUUAACGCUUUCUGGACUUUAGAGAUAUGGGGUUUUUUCAAAAGGAUUUUUGCCUUCAAAUAUAGAAAACAGACUCUUUGUGGUGAGUAUGCUUUUCCUAACACAAAGACUGAAUUUGUAAACAUCUGUUUAUGAAAAAGUUGCAUUUCUCAACAUCGUGGCCUGAUCUUCUAAACCAAUACAUAAAUGGAUCUUCAGUGCACAUGGAAAUCUUUUGCAUUUGAAUAUAAAAAUCUAUUGAGGGAUACAGAAGGGAGAGAAAGAAUUGGGUAAAUAAAUACAAAAACUCUUAAGAGCUUCUGGGCUGGUUUCAAGAAUGCCCCACAAAACAGGUUUUCAUGGUUGUAUGGGGUGAUGUGAUCCUAUUCAAGUUUCUUCCCUUUCUUUAGAAUUUCUGAAGAAGCUGUUGAAAAUGGCUUCAGGGGCUGUUCCUAAAAUAGAUUUUAGAGAUGAAAAAAUGAGAGAAUGCACAUACAAUCUGAGACAAAUGAGCAGCUCUGAUACUGAAGCAGAGAUUGUAAGAUGACUGCUGUGCCUUGCAAGAAAUGAAUAUUCAGGAUGCCCCUGCUGGGUGCCUUUUCCUAUUUGAACCAAAUACUGUUUGGGCCACGAUUCACUUGUUACCAAAUUAAACACUCUUUGCACACAGCAGAGCAACUUUACGAAGUCGGAUUUUGAAGUGCAAACAUCUUUUCUGCUGUGGCCACGGAACCUGUCACAAUCUUCAUCGGGAACUGAAUUAAGUUUAAAAUAUCAUCAGAGGGUGUUGAUCUCUCCUGGGCCUGGAGCAGUCCUCUGUACAUCCGGCAUUUUUCUGUUGACACUGCGUAUCACUUAGCAACGGGCCUGAAAGGCCCUAUAUGCAUUGAUUGCACGCCAUUGUCUUUAAGGGGUGGAAGUGUUAACUGAAUAAACCCCCCGGGUGACCAGACGGUCAUUCCUCUCAUGUUGAUCAUCUGUUUACAUCAAAAUAUUGUUUAUUCCAUUCUCUGAUCUCCUAAUUUUUACAUCUCUGACUGAAGGAAUAAAGUAAAUUUCCUACAUGGUGGAGAACCCCAAUUUACUUUCCUGACAUGGUGUGAUGAGAACAGUUUUGUCCCUAGUUCUCCUGAUAAAGCAUUAAAUGCAUUUGACAGUUAACUGCGGGUGAUAAUGCCAACUUUCUUCUAUGGUUUUCAGAGGAUGGAGAAGUUACAAGCCUGCAAUGUCCCCAUAGAGAGAAAAUAUUCCCUUCGGUCUGUGAAUUGUUUUUGAAAUAAACGGCAGAAUGUGUUAUAUGAUUGUGAAGAGGUUAAGGCUUUAAAGUGGCUGGCAGGCUCUGACAUCAACUGAAUGAAAAGGAAAUAUGGCCUAACCAAGGGGUGUUUUCAGAAUGAAUGAAAUUUCAAAGUGGAAAUUCUUGCCUGAGAGGCAGCAGUAGAGCUCAUUUCUGCAUCAAUAGCCAUGGCUGAAGCAAUAGACCAGACUGGUGGGUCAGACAGGCAUUUUACCUCACACCUCUCCCUUUUAUAAUGAUCUGUUUCAGAGGGCUUCCACGGACGCCGUUUUUCACAAACACCUCAGACAAUGAGAAUGUUUCAGCUCAGGGAUUGUACAUGUAGGCAAAAACCAGAUCAGUGGGGUUACAUGCCCACCUUCAUCAACCAUGUACUGGAGACAAAAUAGAAAUUCUGGGCUUGCUGCCCUACAAUGUCUAGUUUUGAGAAAUCUGUUUUGCUCCUUUGUGAGUUUAUAGCCUACUACACCCAGCUUUAAAGAGAAGAACUACUUAUUAAUGUCUUGAGAAAUAUGCCCUAUUCAACAAGAUAAGCAAUUCCAAAAUCAACCUACUGAUGAUCUUGCUAUGGUGUUGCUUUUGUCUGGUAUAAGGGAACUGGAAUAAAAAAUGAUAGCGCCAAAAGAUUUACUGGUGAAUUUUAAAGUUUUCUCUCUCCACAGUCCUCUUCAUCAAAUAGGAAUGCUGUUUAAGAGAACCAUAUUCUACGAAUGCUUCCUCUUUGACAAAACCCUUGGGCCUUUACUCUGUGCUUUCAUAAGAGGAAAAUUGCAAUUACAAAGUUUUGAACAUAGUUACCUAUGAGUGGGGAUAUGAGAACAAUAGCAGGAGAAAAUGGAGAUCAUCAUUCUACGCAGCACCAGCUUAAGUCAGCUGAGUAGAAAAUAACAGGUUUCAACACAAACAUCUGUACAGACCUCACUCUGGAGAAAUUACUUUGCGUGGAACCCAGGAAAUUAGUUGGAAGAAUUUGUUCACUGUCUCUUUCAAGUUUUAACAGCUUUACUUAAGAACUCAACUAGCAGAUGAUUUCUUUCCAUUGCUUUCUAAAUCAAUCACAAAUGUCUCUUUGAGAAAAGACCAAUGAAAAUUAAGUAGUAGUAAGAAGAGACACACCAGUGAUUGCAAAGUGGAGAGGCUGGCUUCCCUCUGUUAUGGACUGGAUUCUGUACCCCCAAAUUCAUAGGUAAACCCUAACUCUCAAUGUGAUGGUAUUUGGAGAUAGGGCCUUGAAGGAGAUAAUUGAGGUGAAAGGAAAUCAUAAAGGUGGAGCCCUGAGCCAAUAUGACUAGUGUGCUCAUGAGAAGAGGAAGAGACACCAGGGAUGCGCACACCCAGAGAAAAGGCCAUGGGAGGACACAGCAAAAAGGUGGCCAUCUGCAAGCCAAGGAGAGAGGCCUCAGGAGAAAUCAAACCUGCCGACCCCUUGAUCUUGGACUUCCAGCCACCAGAACUGUGAGAAAAUAAAUGUCUGUAGUUUAAAACCACACGAUCUGUGCUAUUUUGUUAUGACAGCCCUAGCAGACUAAUAUAGCCUCCAAGUUAAGAGCCAAACUUCCUGUGAGUGCCCUGUCAUUGACCAAGUGGCUUCUAGAACCACUUCAGCCCAUGACUCCUCCACCAGACAUUGUCAGUGCGAAGAGAGUUUUAGGGCCACAGCCAUGAAGAGCUUGAAUGAAACCAGCAGAGCGUUGCAGGGCAGCCUCUGUUUGACCUUCCACUCGGGAAGGAUUAAUGGCCAGCCCUUUGUGUUAGGAGAGGAUGCUCUGGCCACAUGCAGCCAGACAUGGGGGAGUGUUGUUUCCCAGUUCCAGUGAUAGGUUGGCCUACGCUGGUCUCAUGCUCACACUUGGUUCUCCUAGGUCACAAGUUAGCAGGAAGUAAGCAGGGGGUCAGGGUAGGGCUAUUAUUGUUGGCUGAAGCAUAGACUAGAGCAAUUGAUCUGUACAGUAUUGGACCCACAUCUAACUCUGGGGCCCCAGUUGUCUUGGCUUUUUCCAGCUUUGAUUUCACUGCCUCUCUGAGAGUCAGUUUUUCCUACUAAUGGAAUGUUUUCAAAGUGAGCUCAAGCCCAUGCUCAGUGGGAAAUUCUUCCCUGAAAUCAUUUGUCACAGAAUCAUUUGGCCAUCUAAGACGUUUAUUAUCCUACUUACUGGCAGUAAGUUUCAUAGAAGAGCACAAGAUACUCUGUAGAUUUUUGUUCCCCUUAAAAAGCUGAUAUUCUAGAAUCUGUCCAACAU